This 371-nucleotide ribosomal RNA is filed under the name uncultured bacterium. RNAcentral's name for it is "bacterial SSU rRNA". It matches the Rfam family "Bacterial small subunit ribosomal RNA", at positions 525 to 896 of the family's 1533-position model. The record is from RNAcentral.
ACGUAGGGUGCGAGCGUUAAUCGGAAUUACUGGGCGUAAAGCGUGCGCAGGCGGUUCGUUAAGUUUGUCGUGAAAGCCCCGGGCUCAACCUGGGAAUGGCGAUGGAAACUGGCGGGCUUGAGUAUGGCAGAGGGGGGUGGAAUUCCGCGUGUAGCAGUGAAAUGCGUAGAGAUGCGGAGGAACACCGAUGGCGAAGGCAGCCCCCUGGGCCAAUACUGACGCUCAGGCACGAAAGCGUGGGGAGCAAACAGGAUUAGAUACCCUGGUAGUCCACGCCCUAAACGAUGCUCACUAGGUGUUGGGGAAGCGAUUCCUUGGUACCGUAGCUAACGCGUGAAGUGAGCCGCCUGGGGAGUACGGCCGCAAGGUUA